UGCAUCUGCAGCUCAUGAGGAUGAGAACCUCCGGGGGCAGGGAGGUUCGACUCGAGCGAAGCGAGAGAACGUUGCGCCAGCAACGGCCCG
RNAcentral lists this small RNA (90 nucleotides) under Escherichia coli. Its description in RNAcentral is "partial RtT sRNA". It matches the Rfam family "RtT RNA", at positions 1 to 86 of the family's 130-position model. From Rfam's summary of the family: This family represents a bacterial cis-regulatory element known as RtT RNA. Lineage: Bacteria; Pseudomonadati; Pseudomonadota; Gammaproteobacteria; Enterobacterales; Enterobacteriaceae. The record is from RNAcentral.